RNAcentral lists this unclassified non-coding RNA (332 nucleotides) under soil metagenome. RNAcentral's name for it is "partial contains 5.8S ribosomal RNA, internal transcribed spacer 2, and large subunit ribosomal RNA". The stretch from base 1 to 120 matches the Rfam family "5.8S ribosomal RNA", at positions 35 to 154 of the family's 154-position model. The record is from RNAcentral.
GAUGAAGAACGCAGCAAAAUGCGAUAAGUAAUGUGAAUUGCAGAAUUCAGUGAAUCAUCGAAUCUUUGAACGCACAUUGCGCCCGCCAGUAUUCUGGCGGGCAUGCCUGUUCGAGCGUCAUUUCAACCCUCAAGCACAGCUUGGUGUUGGGACUCGCGUUAAUUCGCGUUCCCCAAAUUGAUUGGCGGUCACGUCGAGCUUCCAUAGCGUAGUAGUAAAACCCUCGUUACUGGUAAUCGUCGCGACCACGCCGUUAAACCCCAACUUCUGAAUGUUGACCUCGGAUCAGGUAGGAAUACCCGCUGAACUUAAGCAUAUCAAUAAGCGGAGGA